GUGGGGAAUAUUGCGCAAUGGGCGAAAGCCUGACGCAGCGACGCCGCGUGGGGGAUGAAGCUUCUCGGAGUGUAAACCCCUUUCGGCCCGGACGAAAAAUCCCGCAAGGGAUCUGACGGUACGGGUAUAAGAAGCCCCGGCUAACUACGUGCCAGCAGCCGCGGUAAGACGUAGGGGGCCAGCGUUGCUCGGAAUAACUGGGCGUAAAGGGUUCGUAGGCGGUGUGGCAAGUCGGGAGUGAAAUCCUGAGGCUUAACUUCAGGACUGCCUCCGAAACUGCCAUGCUCGAGUGCGGGAGAGGCGAGUGGAAUUGCAGGUGUAGCGGUGAAAUGCGUAGAUAUCUGCAGGAACACCAGUGGCGAAAGCGGCUCGCUGGACCGCAACUGACGCUGAGGAACGAAAGCUAGGGGAGCAAACAGGAUUAGAAACCCCGGUAGUCC
RNAcentral lists this ribosomal RNA (440 nucleotides) under uncultured bacterium. Its description in RNAcentral is "bacterial SSU rRNA". It matches the Rfam family "Bacterial small subunit ribosomal RNA", at positions 354 to 796 of the family's 1533-position model. The record is from RNAcentral.